This 253-nucleotide ribosomal RNA is filed under the name uncultured bacterium. RNAcentral's name for it is "partial 16S ribosomal RNA". It matches the Rfam family "Bacterial small subunit ribosomal RNA", at positions 524 to 776 of the family's 1533-position model. The record is from RNAcentral.
UACGAAGGGGGCUAGCGUUGCUCGGAAUCACUGGGCGUAAAGCGCACGUAGGCGGAUCUUUAAGUCAGGGGUGAAAUCCCGAGGCUCAACCUCGGAACUGCCUUUGAUACUGGGGAUCUCGAGUCCGGAAGAGGUUGGUGGAACUCCGAGUGUAGAGGUGAAAUUCGUAGAUAUUCGGAAGAACACCAGUGGCGAAGGCGGCCAACUGGUCCGGUACUGACGCUGAGGCGCGAAAGCUAGGGGAGCAAACAGG